UAUUGGGUGUUACUUAAUAUGCUGAUAGAUUAAUGUGACAUUUUUUUUAAAAUUUUAUAUAUAAAUCAAUCAAAAGACUCUAUAUUAUAUAUGCGGACAUAUUAAUAAUAUCUAAAGAUAUUAUUAAUUGAGGACGUCAUUACAGUCUAGAAUAGAUUGUAGAGAGGGAAUGACGCCUUAAAGACACAGAUACUGGUGGUGGUAACAUGAUGGACUAUCUGUUAUUUUUAGAAAUCUAUCUACUGAUGCUAUUUUUACAGUCCAGUGUGUUUGAAAAUUGGUAACGGAAUGGGCAGAGUUCUGCCAAGCUGGGUGAUACCUCCAUCUUUUUAAGUAUUCGAUUUGACGAUGCACUUUUUUUAAAUCUUUUUAUAAUUCUUAUUUUAUCUUUCUUUUUAGAUCUUUUCUUUCGAUUUUUUUUUCUUUCUCUUGAGGCACUUGCUACCUCACUCCAUGUAGCUAAAUUUAUUGCCUAAAUAAAUAAAGCAGAUAGUGUGCUAUAUUUUUUACACAAAAAAAAUCUAAAGAUAAAAUCUACAAAGAUUUGU
This 548-nucleotide long non-coding RNA is filed under the name Ananas comosus (pineapple). Its description in RNAcentral is "long non-coding RNA (ACOM_LNC000293)". Lineage: Eukaryota; Viridiplantae; Streptophyta; Magnoliopsida; Poales; Bromeliaceae. The record is from RNAcentral.